Molecule: ribosomal RNA, 311 nt
Filed under: uncultured Glomeromycotina
Lineage: Eukaryota; Fungi; Glomeromycota
Description: LSU rRNA
Source: RNAcentral
UUGAAAGGGAAACGAUUGAAGUCAGUCAUGCCAGUGGGAAUCAACUUAGGGGAAACUCUGGGUGCACUUCUUCGCUUGGCAGGUCAACGUCGAUUUUGAAUGUCAUAAAAUAAUUGGGGGAAGGUAGCUCCUUCGGGAGUGUUAUAGCCCUUGAUAGAUGUGAUGUUUGGGGUCGAGGAUUGCAACGGAAUCCUUCGGGGCUAGCCGCCUGAUCUCUAAUUGGUGUUGGGUUACGGAUAGCAUGCUGACCGUGAUCUAAUUACUGGUUAAAAGGUUAGAGUGUGCAUAAAUUCGUUAAGGAUGUUGACGUA